RNAcentral lists this ribosomal RNA (466 nucleotides) under uncultured bacterium. Its description in RNAcentral is "partial 16S ribosomal RNA". It matches the Rfam family "Bacterial small subunit ribosomal RNA", at positions 28 to 507 of the family's 1533-position model. The record is from RNAcentral.
GAUGAACGCUGGCGGCGUGCUUAACACAUGCAAGUCGAACGGAAAGGCUCCUGCUUGCAGGGGUACUCGAGUGGCGAACGGGUGAGUAACACGUGGGUGAUCUGCCCUGCACUUCGGGAUAAGCCUGGGAAACUGGGUCUAAUACCGGAUAGGACGAUGGUUUGGAUGCCAUUGUGGAAAGUUUUUUCGGUGUGGGAUGAGCUCGCGGCCUAUCAGCUUGUUGGUGGGGUAAUGGCCUACCAAGGCGUCGACGGGUAGCCGGCCUGAGAGGGUGUACGGCCACAUUGGGACUGAGAUACGGCCCAGACUCCUACGGGAGGCAGCAGUGGGGAAUAUUGCACAAUGGGCGCAAGCCUGAUGCAGCGACGCCGCGUGGGGGAUGACGGCCUUCGUGUUGUAAACUCCUUUCGCUAGGGACGAAGCGCAAGUGACGGUACCUGGAGAAGAAGCACCGGCUAACUACGUG